Molecule: long non-coding RNA, 387 nt
Filed under: Phascolarctos cinereus (koala)
Lineage: Eukaryota; Metazoa; Chordata; Mammalia; Diprotodontia; Phascolarctidae
Description: lncRNA (ENSPCIG00000007163.2)
Source: RNAcentral
GUUAUGUCCAUUUUUCAUUUCCUAUGAGAAUGUCAGAGCUUGGAACAAUAAUGGAGUCUGGAAUUGCUCUUCAUAAAAGUGUGUUGAAAUUAUCAGCAGAAUGGAAGGGAAAUGCGGCAGGUCUGCCAUGGAAGAAGGAAGAAAGAACUCAGCCACUUCAUCCAGAACUAUAGCAAGGCAGUAUCAUCAGUGAUGCCUAGAAGUGGAUUCACAGUGGCGCUUCAAUCACCCAGACACCCUCAAAGAACCGUUAAGGUUUUCUUUGAGAAUAUGCUUUGGCAACCCUCACACUCCUGAACAGUUCAUUGUUUGAAAAUGCUUGACAAGGAGCAGACUGCAAUUAAUUACUUCAAUCCUCCACUUUUGUGUGGGGGAAAUCAAGCUGGU